This 460-nucleotide ribosomal RNA is filed under the name uncultured bacterium. Its description in RNAcentral is "partial 16S ribosomal RNA". It matches the Rfam family "Bacterial small subunit ribosomal RNA", at positions 338 to 795 of the family's 1533-position model. The record is from RNAcentral.
CCUACGGGUGGCAGCAGUGAGGAAUAUUGGUCAAUGGACGCAAGUCUGAACCAGCCAAGCCGCGUGCAGGAUGACGGCCCUAUGAGUUGUAAACUGCUUUUGUACGGGGGUAAACCCCGAUACGUGUGUCGGGUUGAAAGUAUCUUAAGAAUAAGGAUCGGCUAACUCCGUGCCAGCAGCCGCGGUAAUACGGAGGAUCCGAGCGUUAUCCGGAUUUAUUGGGUUUAAAGGGUGCGUAGGCGGGUUGGUAAGUUAGAGGUGAAAUGUGGGGGCUCAACCCCGACACUGCCUCUGAUACUGGUGGACUAGAGUAUAGUUGAGGUAGGCGGAAUGUAUGGUGUAGCGGUGAAAUGCUUAGAGAUCAUGCAGAACACCGAUUGCGAAGGCAGCUUACCAAACUAUAUCUGACGUUGAGGCACGAAAGCGUGGGUAGCAAACAGGAUUAGAUACCCUGGUAGUC